UCACAUUGUAAAAUAGCGUUCUUCUUUUGGUAUUUGUUCAGACAUUUGAAAACAUGACAAGAGCAGGCAGUGGGUCAGGUCUAGCCCACCGGCCAGAGUUUGCUGACCCCUGGUCUAGAUGACUCUAGUAUUUGAAAACUUAUUUUCAUUGAGUGAAUGUUAAAAAAGUAAAAAGAGUGAAUGUUAAAUUUUCCCUGUGGUCAACAAAGUCACUCGUAGAAGAUGCAGUGCUCAUAAGAGUAGAGCUUAGUUCACAGGUUCUAUCAAAACAUUGUGGGUAUUUGUCAGCCUGGGUGAUGCCAACGUAGGCAAGUACUUCAGUACAAGCUGAAAUUCCUUUUUUCUUUUAAAUCUUUUUAGGGCCAUAUUGACAGCAUAUGGAGGUUUCCAAGCCAGUGGUCCAAUCGGAGCCGUAGCCACCAGCCUACACCACAGCCACAGCAACUCCAGACCUGAAUCGCAUCUGUGACCUGUACCACAGCUCAUGGCAACCUGGAAUCCAUAACCCACUGAGUGAGGCCAGGGAUCGAACCUGCAUCCUCAUGGAUGCUAGUCAGAUUUGUUUCCUCUGAGCCAUGAUGGGAGCUCCCUAACCUGUAAUUCCUUAAGUAGUUAUUCUAAUGGAUUUUAAACUUUAAAUCAUAUUAUUUUCAAAUAUAGGCAUCAAAUGACUUUAUUAAGAGCUGGAUCAUUCUAUUUCAUGAUUCAGAUUGUAUCCCAUACUGUUGUUAAUUAUUGCAUACCAUGCUGGAGUCUAGCAACCCUGCCUGCCUCUCGACAGCCUGAUGGCCUGUGUUAAGGGGUUUGGAGCUUGGUUCUGGCUGGGAUUUUUGUUGCAGAAGCCAGGGGAAGGCAUGGGAAGGAGCACCAAAGCGUAUGUGUGGCACAUGGUAAAUGUGGGAUAAACUUGUUCCCUCUCUUCCCUUUCUUUUCCUCCCCACCCAAAUGUUCUGUAUAUUUGGUCAGCUCCAAAGCAUGCUGAGCCUCUUUGAAAUUGUUACUUUGGUUCUUUCCACAUGCAGUAAAGUCACUAACCUUUUUAAAUGGAAACAAAAACAAAGGCAGUUAGAAAGCAGUUUCCCCUCCUGGGUCACCAGCUUUCUCUUGCCGGAGACUCAGAUAAUCGGCAGUGCUGUGCUGAGACUGCGGCUGGGGCCAGAAGAGAGGCCCCAGGUCCAAGGCAGGCGCCUCCAGCUGGGUGCAGACACAGCUCUCCAGCCAGGAGGGGGGGUGCCUGGCCUGCUGGCUGCUCUGAGUUCCGAAGCUCCUGGGUGUAUCUUGGUUUCAGAGAUUCCAAUGGUAGGAAAGCCAGGAUCCUCUCCAGACGAGAGACCACCAGCCCCGAAGGUGACUGUGAUGCCGUGGAUCUUGGCUCUCGAGUGUGCUUUUGCUGUGUGUGUUGGAUGGAAGGCCCGUCUUGAGCAGACGUGUUUUUGUGUUGUUCAGAGGCUGAUGGUGCAUAACCACGUGUACUUUCUGGCCGGAGGUCUGGCAGGAUGUGAAGAGAGGCAGCCACUGACCUUUGGCUGGAGUUGA
RNAcentral lists this long non-coding RNA (1536 nucleotides) under Sus scrofa (pig). Its description in RNAcentral is "lncRNA (ENSSSCG00070004887.1)". Lineage: Eukaryota; Metazoa; Chordata; Mammalia; Artiodactyla; Suidae. The record is from RNAcentral.